RNAcentral lists this ribosomal RNA (406 nucleotides) under uncultured bacterium. RNAcentral describes it as "partial 16S ribosomal RNA". It matches the Rfam family "Bacterial small subunit ribosomal RNA", at positions 30 to 526 of the family's 1533-position model. The record is from RNAcentral.
AUUGAACGCUGGCGGCAGGCCUAACACAUGCAAGUCGAGCGAGCGGGGGGCGGGUGAGUAAUGUAUGGGGAUCUGCUCGAUAGAGGGGGAUAACUCCUGGAAACGGUGGCUAAUACCGCAUACUAGCGGCUUAACCCUGAUGGGAUGAGCUAGUGGGUGGGGUAAAGGCUCACCUAGGACACGAUCUCUAGCUGGUCUGAGAGGAUGAUCGGCCACACUGGAACUGAGACACGGCCCAGACUCCUACGGGAGGCAGCAGUGGGGAAUAUUGCACAAUGGGCGAAAGCCUGAUGCAGCCAUGCCGCGUGUGUGAAGAAGGCCUUAGGGUUGUAAAGUACUGUCAGCGGGGAGGCGUUACCCGCAGAGAAAGCACCGGCUAACUACGUGCCAGCAGCCGCGGUAAUAC